CCGUGACUACGAGGACUCUGUGGAGCAGCAGGGGAGGGGGCGUGUCCAGGAGGACACUCGCCGUCGCCAGGAGCAACUUUCGCCUCAACCCCUCCCGCCGACUCCCCACAGGCCCCUCCCACUCAACAGGCCACACCCUCGGCCGCAGCAGAACGCCAUGGACCAGCAGAGGGAGCUGGCGAGACGCCGCGAGCAGGAAAGGAGGAGGAGAGAGGUGGUAAUACUUUAUAGCAGUAAUACUACUAUAAUACUAACAUGUUAUACUAGUAUAGCAGGAGAGAGGUGGCAAUACUUUAUAGCAGUAAUACUACUAUAAUACUAACAUGUUAUACUAGUAUAGUAGGAGAGAGGUGGUAAUACUUUAUAGCAGUAAUACUACUAUAAUACUAACAUGUUAUACUAGUAUAGCAGGAGAGAGGUGGUAAUACUUUAUAGCAGUAAUACUACUAUAAUACUAACAUGUUAUACUAGUAUAGCAGGAGAGAGGCGGUAAUACUUUAUAGCAGUAAUACUACUAUAAUACUAACAUGUUAUACUAGUAUAGUAGGAGAGAGGCGGUAAUACUUUAUAGCAGUGAUACUACUAUAAUACUAACAUGUUAUACUAGUAUAGCAGGAGAGAGGCGGUAAUACUGUAUAGCAGUAAUACU
Molecule: long non-coding RNA, 649 nt
Filed under: Salmo salar (Atlantic salmon)
Lineage: Eukaryota; Metazoa; Chordata; Actinopteri; Salmoniformes; Salmonidae
Description: lncRNA (ENSSSAG00000112395.1)
Source: RNAcentral